This is a small nucleolar RNA of Impatiens glandulifera, 169 nucleotides long. RefSeq annotates it as small nucleolar RNA snoR143. The transcript has a single exon. The record is from RefSeq and is a predicted model, not a curated record. Lineage: Eukaryota; Viridiplantae; Streptophyta; Magnoliopsida; Ericales; Balsaminaceae.
UCGCACUCUGCAUAUUGAGCUUCUUCAUAUAUUAUAUCGAAGAUUGCUAUAAGCUAGGGUUUGCGUAUAGAAAUGCUGUUAAAUCAGAAGCGGCCAGACAACCGUAGAGAUGGAUCCACAGAUGAAACGCUUUCUUUUGCUUUUUGUCUACUAAAUCCAUCUUACAUUU